GCCUUCGUGGUGUAGUGGUUCUGCACGCUGGGCCGGCAUUUCAGAGGUCCGUGGUUCGAUUCCCGGCGAAGGCG
This 74-nucleotide transfer RNA is filed under the name Stegodyphus dumicola. RNAcentral describes it as "tRNA-Ala". It matches the Rfam family "tRNA". From Rfam's summary of the family: Transfer RNA (tRNA) molecules are approximately 80 nucleotides in length. Their secondary structure includes four short double-helical elements and three loops (D, anti-codon, and T loops). The record is from RNAcentral. Lineage: Eukaryota; Metazoa; Arthropoda; Arachnida; Araneae; Eresidae.